CCUGGAGACUCCUACGGGAGGCAGCAGUGGGGAAUAUUGCACAAUGGGGGAAACCCUGAUGCAGCGACGCCGCGUGAGUGAAGAAGUAUUUCGGUAUGUAAAGCUCUAUCAGCAGGGAAGAUAAUGACAGUACCUGACUAAGAAGCCCCGGCUAACUACGUGCCAGCAGCCGCGGUAAUACGUAGGGGGCAAGCGUUAUCCGGAUUUACUGGGUGUAAAGGGAGCGUAGACGGAGUGGCAAGUCUGAAGUGAAAACCCUGGGCUUAACCUGGGGACUGCUUUGGAAACUGUUAAUCUAGAGUGUUGGAGAGGUAAGUGGAAUUCCUGGUGUAGCGGUGAAAUGCGUAGAUAUCAGGAAGAACACCGGAGGCGAAGGCGGCUUACUGGACAAUAACUGACGUUGAGGCUCGAAAGCGUGGGGAUCAAACAGGAUUAGAAACCCCGGUAGUCC
RNAcentral lists this ribosomal RNA (451 nucleotides) under uncultured bacterium. RNAcentral's name for it is "bacterial SSU rRNA". It matches the Rfam family "Bacterial small subunit ribosomal RNA", at positions 328 to 796 of the family's 1533-position model. The record is from RNAcentral.